Molecule: long non-coding RNA, 296 nt
Organism: Rhinichthys klamathensis goyatoka
Lineage: Eukaryota; Metazoa; Chordata; Actinopteri; Cypriniformes; Leuciscidae
Exons: 2
Source: RefSeq, a predicted model, not a curated record
ACCUCCUAAAAGUGUCAAAAACGACGGAGUCGUCGCAGUUGAUGGCAUCACGGUGUCCUGGCGGCAGACACAAGUCUCCGACCUGCAUGUCAUAGCAGGGGAUGCCGUGCUGUACAACGGGCUCAUGUGUACAUGAUUACCUUCAUUGGGUUGGACUGUGUUUCUCCCUCGUCUUCAGAAUCUUCAUCCGACUCCAUCACAUCCUCUGCCUCCUGCCACUCCACAUUCGGACCUUUGUGGAAGCGCAAACGUGUUCCUAGAGGAAAAAGAUGGGUAGCACAGUGACAAAAGUUUGG